GACGAACGCUGGCGGCGUGCCUAAUACAUGCACGUAGAACGCAGUUGCGAACGGGUGAGUAACGCGUAGGUAACUGCCUCAUAGCGGGGGAUAACUAUUGGAAACGAUAGCUAAUACCGCAUACUGUGAGAUGGCCCUGCGUUGUAUUAGCUAGUGUGUGAGGUAAAGGCUCACCAAGGCGACGAUACAUAGCCGACCUGAGAGGGUGGUCGGCCACGCCUGGGAGGAAAAAAGGCCCAUACUGCUACGGAAGGCAGCAGUAGGGAAUCUUCGGCAAUGGAAGGAAGUCUUGCCGGGGAACGCGGCGUGAGUGAAGAAGGUUUUCGGAUCGUAGGGCUCUGUUGUUAGAGAAGCGGAAACUGACCAGAAAGGGACGGAUAACUACGUGCCGGCAGCCGCGGUAAUAC
This 407-nucleotide ribosomal RNA is filed under the name uncultured bacterium. RNAcentral describes it as "partial 16S ribosomal RNA". It matches the Rfam family "Bacterial small subunit ribosomal RNA", at positions 28 to 526 of the family's 1533-position model. The record is from RNAcentral.